This 526-nucleotide ribosomal RNA is filed under the name uncultured bacterium. RNAcentral's name for it is "bacterial SSU rRNA". It matches the Rfam family "Bacterial small subunit ribosomal RNA", at positions 15 to 518 of the family's 1533-position model. The record is from RNAcentral.
GAUCAUGGCUCAGGACGAACGCUGGCGGCGUGCCUAACACAUGCAAGUCGAACGGGGAUUUGUUUCGGCAGAAUCCUAGUGGCGAACGGGUGAGUAACGCGUAGGCAACCUGCCCUCCGGCCGGGGGACAACACUCCGAAAGGGGUGCUAAUACCGGAUACGAAGUCUGUGCCGCAUGGUACGGAUUUGAAAGAUGGCCUCUAUUUAUAAGCUAUCGCCGGGGGAUGGGCCUGCGUCCGAUUAGCUGGUUGGUGGGGUAACGGCCUACCAAGGCGACGAUCGGUAGCCGGUCUGAGAGGAUGAACGGCCACAUUGGGACUGAGUCACGGCCCAGACUCCUACGGGAGGCAGCAGUGGGGAAUCUUCCGCAAUGGGCGCAAGCCUGACGGAGCAACGCCGCGUGAGUGAGGAAGUUCUUCGGAACGUAAAGCUCUGUUGUUCCUGACGAACCUCCCUUCUAUCAACAACGGAGGGGACUGACGGUAGGGAACGAGGAAGCCACGGCUAACUACGUGCCAGCCGCAGC